GCCACGGCCUCCCGAGCCCGACGCCAUGGCCGCUGCGGCCGGGGACGGCGCGGUGAAGCCGCUGCAGUGCGCCAUGAAGCUGGCCAACGGGGCCAUCGAGCUGGACACCGGCAACCGGCCCCGGGAGGCAUAUACAGAAUACCUGAGGAGCAUCCACUAUAUCUCCCAGGUGCUGCUGGAAGAAGUGGAAACCACCAAAGAAGGUGGCGACCCUGUGGCCCCAGAUACCUCAAAGAUGCUGAAACUGGCUGAGCAGUGUCUGGAGAGGGCCCAGUCGACAGCUGCCAAGCUCGGGAAAACACACCUGAAGCCAGCCACGCCCGUGGGUGCUCCUGGCCCCUCGUCUACCAGCCGACAUCGCCGGGUGUACUCAGAUGAAGGGGGGAGACUAUCUCCGUUUCUGCCGCCCGAGAUCUUCCAGAAGCUUCAGGCGGCAGAGUCACAAAGUUCCAAAAAGGAGCUGACACCUCUGGAGGAGGCCUCUCUGCAAAACCAGAAGCUGAAGGCCGCCUACGAGGCACGGAUGGCCCGUCUGGACCCCAGCCAGGCCAUGCAGAAGACAUCCCUGACCCUGUCCCUGCAGCGGCAGAUGAUGGAGAACCUUGUGAUCGCCAAAGCCCGGGAGGAGACACUGCAGAGGAAGAUGGAGGAGCGCCGGCUGCGGCUCCAGGAGGCAGCCAACAGGAGGUUCUGCAGUCAAGUUGCCCUGAGCCCGGAGGAGCGGGAGCAGCGGGCCCUCUAUGCCGCCAUCCUCGAGUACGAGCAAGACCACGACUGGCCGAAGCACUGGAGGGCCCAGCUCAAGAAGAGCCCAGGGGACCUGUCGCUAGUGACCAGCCUGGUCUCCCACCUGCUCAGCACUCCCGACCACCCCAUCUCGCAGCUCCUGAAGAAGCUCCAGUGUGCGGUGUACCGGGCGCUGUACCCCAUCGUGAGCAGGGGCGCUGUUGGCGCUGCCUCUGCCCCUGGCUGCCGUUCCUUGCCCCCAGACGCCGACGGGCUGCUGGCUCCGGGAAGCCGGCGGCUCCGGCCCUCGCAGAGCCUCUACUGCAUGCUCUCCCCUGCGGAGCCCAGCCCAGCCCUGCGGCCCCCAGACGGCACUCAGGCCGGCCCCCCAGACAGAGGGCCAGACAGCAGCCCUGCCGGGCCUCCCUCACCCCUGGCACAUAGCUUGACCGGUGUGCAGGGCAAAGACAGCUCCUUUGAAGACCUCGAACACUUCUUGGCUACUUCUGAGGGGUGGGGCCGGGGGCGUGGGAGGCCGCCUGAGCCCCACACAACGGGGGUGAAGAAGGAGCCGCUGCUGGAGCAGCUGAAGAGCACUGUGAAGGACAUACACAACGCCAUCGACAGGCUGCUCUCGCUCACCCUCCUGGCUUUCGAAGGCCUGAACGUGGCCGCCUCCAAGGACCGAUGUCUGGCCUGCAUCGAGGAGCCCUUCUUCUCUCCACUAUGGCCCCUGCUGCUGGUACUCUAUAGGAGUGUGCACCGCCUCCGGGAGGCCGCCCUGAGCAGAAGCAUGGAGCUCUACAGGAAUGCACCCCCAGCCGCCAUAGGCAUUCCCAGGAAGCUCCUCCCCCGGGACCUGGAGGCCACAGGAGCUGGUGCCUACCCCUACUGUGCUGCAGCCCAAGAGCUGGGCUUGCUGGUCCUGGAGAGCUGCCCCCAGAAGAAGCUGGAGUGCAUUGUGCGGGUCCUGCGGGUCAUCUGUGCCUGUGCCGAGGAUUACUACCAGGCCCAGGAGGCUGCCCCUGAGGCCAAACCCCCAGUGGGUGCCGCAGCCAUCGGUGCCGACGACCUGCUGCCCAUCUUGUCCUUUGUGGUGCUGAGAAGCGGUCUCCCCCAGUUGGUGUCAGAGUGUGCAGCCCUGGAGGAGUUCAUCCAUGAGGGGUAGGAGCCCCCGGCUGGAGUCAGGCCAGCAUGAUGCACUGAGCACGUGCUCCCAGGUACCUGAUUGGAGAGGAGGGUUACUGCCUGACGUCACUACAGAGUGCCCUGAACUACGUGGAGCUACUGCCCCGGGGGGCCCUGGGCAAGUAGAGGAGAACAGGACCUGCUGAGGACCAUCCAGGAGUCACCUGCUGGGGUGGGGGGGCACUAGGCCAGCUGUGGUGGGGCUCUGCAGCUCUCACACUUGCCCUAACCUGACAUCUGCCCCCAGGGACUUGAGGAGUCACCGCUGUUCCUCAGAGGCACCAGCUCCUAAGAAGUAGGCCCAUCUCUUUCUUGUCUCAGACUGAGAGGCUUUGUGCACGAACAGCAGAGCUGUGGACUCCCCCUGGGGCCUGUACACGUGUCCUCACAGCCCCAGCCACUCAGCAGUAGGGAGGGCGCCUUGGGCCUGGCAGAGGGCAGGUCUGGUUUCUCUCUCUUCCCAUCCCUGUGACAGUCAGCUUCCAGCACCAGUCGCUUGUUAGAGUCAAGAAGAGGGCCUGGCCCCUUCCCCUGCCUCCCACCCAAGGGCUGGGGCCCAGGUGGUUUGAAACUGUGCUGUUCACUUACUGGGCAUUGAUCAUUCCAUUCUCCUCUGGAGCCCAGGCACCCCCAGGGCACCCACCCGUGUCUGGGGCCUCUGAGCCACUCCGGCCCUUGGCACGGUAGGCAUUGGACCCCUGGCCAAUUCCCAUCCCCGCAUGUCCCCUUCUGGGUCAGCGUGAACCCAAGGGUCAGUGCCUGCCUGCAGCCCAGCGCCCACUUUGUUACGUGCCCCGGGCAGCCACUGACACAGCCAAAAAUAAAGAGGUCACUGAUCUCUCGUGCUGCA
This is an RNA transcript of Callorhinus ursinus (northern fur seal), 2764 nucleotides long. It is a transcript of the gene named VPS9 domain containing 1, with no coding region annotated. Lineage: Eukaryota; Metazoa; Chordata; Mammalia; Carnivora; Otariidae. The record is from RefSeq and is a predicted model, not a curated record.